RNA transcript from Pristis pectinata (smalltooth sawfish), 6179 nucleotides. It is a transcript of the gene named ligand-dependent nuclear receptor-interacting factor 1-like, with no coding region annotated. The record is from RefSeq and is a predicted model, not a curated record. Lineage: Eukaryota; Metazoa; Chordata; Chondrichthyes; Rhinopristiformes; Pristidae. The transcript is spliced from 6 exons.
AGUAAAACGCAGGCAAAACCAAGAAUUAAAAUUUGCAAUGUGCACCUAAAAUACAAACUGGAUUCAAAUCUGCGAUACAUUUACGAGCUAAAAGCUUCGAUCAACGUUCAACUCCGAGCUCUCCGGUGACGCCUCGCAGGGCUGCGUGCAAGGGUUGUUGGCGUUUGAUUGACAGGCGGCGGAAAGAGAGAGAGAGGGCGCUGAGCUGACGCCCGGGCGCGGAGCGAGCCGCUGAUUGGCGGUGGGCGGCGGGUCAGGGUUCGCCCAGGCUCCAAUCGCAGCGAGCGUCCGUGCGUGCUGUCCGUGUGGCUGCUGCGUGGGGCCGCCGGCCGUUGGAUGGACGCUGGGAAACUGCGGGGAAACUCCAAGGCGUCGCGACUUGCAGCCCGUUAUUGCACCCACCAGCCCUUCACUGAGCUAAACGCCAACUCUCGCUGCUUUUUGAGGGCGGAGGGCUGCAGCCCGUCGAGGUGGAGCUCUUGGUGUUGCCAGGGGCGACCCGCCUUCCCCGCCACCAUUCCGGGCCGGGCCGAGGAUUGUGGGGGCCACGGCGUCAUUCUGGCCGCCGCCGCCGGGUGGCGCUGCGGGUAGAUUUCUGGCGACCUGAGCCGGGCCAGCGAGCCCGGGGGCUCCGGCUUCACCCGGCUGGGGAGGAGGGGGGGGUGCAGACAGGAUUACACACGCCUCUGCCCCACGGGGGAAGCAGGAUCAUCCAGCCGGGGGCUCGGCAGAGGCACUCCAUUCAGCUUCCAACAUGAACAACGUCCAUCCCCUAUUAUUGCAGAACACAGACGGUUCGGGCAAUAGUCAGUGUGUCUCUCCUAGCACUUCAGGAUGCUUGUAUCGGAUUGUGCAGACAACAGGUCUGGAUGGAAAGAACCUGCUGAAGCUAAUUCCACUCUCCAACAACACUAUACAUUACAUCCCGGCUGUUCCUCUUUCAAUUUCCACUGGGAGUACCUCCACCAAAAUAAGCAUGAUCCCUGUUGCAACAACAGAUUGCAGUGGUCAGACAUGUCUUCCAAUAUUGCAGCACACCAACACAGGAAGAUUUCUGAUAACGUCAGUUGAAGCACCUACAAGCAACAGUAAGGUUCCUCCAGCCAACAGUUCACAAGAAAAAAUACCUGCAGCACCAACAGUUGCACCUUUGCAAUGUCCUGGUCUGACAGCAGUUACUUUAUCUGGGCUACCCAUUCAGACCAAAGCAGCUGCUACUUCAGCUGUAGACAAAGGGUCACGUAGUCUGAAAACAGCUACGGUUCAGAGUUCAGCUGUACAGAAAACCCAACCACCGCCUACUUUGCCAUUGGAACAACAGAUUUAUAAAGUUGCUUUGUCAAAUCUAGCAUUGCAGAAUACCCAACCUCCUCCCACUUUGGCUCAAGAUCAAAUGGCUUAUAAAGUAACUACAGUUAGUGUGCAUGGUACACCUGUACAGAAAACCCAAGCAUCUUCAACGUUACCUAAGGAUGCACAGAGUCAGAAGCCAACAACAGUUCCAUCGCCUGGGGUGUCGGUGCAGAAGCCUCAAGCAUCUCCCGCUUCAACUGUGGAUCAUAAGACUUACAUGUUUUUAAAGUCUCCAAUAUUGCCUUCUGGCCAUCAUCUUCAGAUCCCAGCAAAUGCAGAAGUCAAAUCUGUACCAGCAUCCCUACUGCCUCUUGCCAUCCAGCAGAAGAUUUUGGCUACUGCAGCCGCCAACCUUGCUGGCUUGAGUCAAUCUUCAAAGUCACCUCCAACCGUUAUUUAUGUUUGUCCAGUCAAUACUGUGAAGACGAUACAGAAGCGCCUCCCAAGCAUUCGCCCGAAGAACAUUGUAGAGGUCCCCACAGUGGUCAUUUCUGGCGACAGCCCUGUGCCUAGCUCAGCACCACCUGCCAGAAGUGCGGCAGUUUCUAACUCUGAGCAGUCCACGCCCCAGGACACUUCUCUGAACUCGGCUAUGCAGAACAAACAACAGUUUUCACCACGUUGCCUUAUCCCAGUUAAAUCUUCCAAUAAUUUGGCCUCGAAGAUCUUGAAGAACCUGGCUGAUCAGCAGCAUGCAAAAGGAGAGCUGAUAAGCCUGAUACCGCCAACAUCAGUUUCACAGAAAGAGACCAACGUAGAUUUGUUUCCAACACUGAAGGAGAAUGCCCUGGUUAUGUACAACGGUAAAGUCUACCUUGUCAUCCAGAAGAACAAUGAAUCAUCCAGUCCAGGUCCUGAGACUGACUUUCUGAAGGUGAAACAUAUAGAAAAGGAGAGUACCUUGUCUAGUGACUUACCACAGACCAAAUUACAAAUUAAAAUCAAAGAGGAACCAGAGGACCCUGAUUUUGAACCUGUCCAUCAGCAGGAGAAGCAGCUUGAAAGCUGGCCCACAGAAAAGUGUGAUGUCCAGAAUCCCAGUAACAUGUACAGGGCUCAGGGUAGACCAAUCAAGUCCGAGCUGAUGGAGCCGGCUUGUGGGACGGUUGGAGAAGAAACUGAUGAGCAGUUAUUGAAGAAGGCAGGAAUUCACUCUGAUCUCCGAAUCUGCCUCACCAGAAUUUCCCCUAAACUGCUCGAACAAUGGGAGAAGAGCAAAUCCCCUGCAAUCUCUGAGUCAGUGGAGUCAUCCGCUCCUCAGACCAAGAAAGCAGAUGACCUUUCAACUGAUGCAAUUAGUAGAGAAACUCAAGUGAAUUUGAUGCUUCCAGUUAAGAAGGAGGAGCCUAUAGAUGCAGGAUAUUAUGCAUAUCAUACAAAGGAGAUAAAGAUUAAACUUGAGCCUCAAUCGCCAGUGAAAAGAAAACCGGAGAGUGUCGAUUAUUCAGUGCCAGUUAAGAAACAGUGCCUAGAAAGGGUCAUUUCAAAUUGGGAAUCUGAGCAUGCCUACAGCUGUCUUUCUGUGAACAGUACAGAAACACCUACCCCCAAUACAGAUGAACCCUCCCACAUCAACUCUCACAGUGAACAAGAGGCACUCGCCAGCAUAACUGAGCCCAGCUCGGUACCAGAGGAGCACUUGAUAAUGGAAUCCUCUCCCACUGUCAUGUUCAACACUGGGACAAAUAAUGCCCGUUGUCUUCAUAUGGCUCCCUCCAUUGUUCCUGCACCCAGCAUCUCAUCUCUUUCAAUAGGACACUCCUCUGCCACUGAGAUCAGCACAGCACAACCUUACACUCCUCCUCUUCCCUUGAGUGUUGAUGAAACUACACGCGAUGAGAAGAUCAGGCGACUGAAAGAGAUCCUGAAAGAGAAGGAGGCUGCGCUGGAAGCAAUACGGAAGAAAAUGGUUUUAGCACCUUUAUAAAGUUCUUACUCAAAUUUAGUAAUUUGUGUCCUUGCAGUGCUAGUCCUUGAAGAUCUGAAUAUUUGUUCUAUGUGAUCUGUCUCUUGGUGUGGUUAAAAUGGCAAAUAUUUAAAUUGUCUUUGAAAUUAGUCAUUUUUGCUGCUUAGUUCAGCAGCCACAUUUUAAUUUCAAUAUUUGCAAUUUUAAAUUGUAGAAAAAUUGAAUCAGCGUGAUAAUUGCACUUUGUUGUAUAAUAAUAUUUGGUCCUUCAGUUUUAUUGGGUCUGUUUAGUGAGUAAUGUUCUGUUCAAUUGUGUGCUACGUAUUCUUUGAACCUAAAAAUGCAUUUUAUUCUUGUGUGUACUCCUGGACUAACAAACUGGGUUCACAUUGUACAUAUUGUACUGGUGUUGUAAACACACCCAAGUCCUGUCCUGUAGGUUCUUCAUUUUAGAAUCUAUUCCCUUCACCACUAUGAAAUCCUUUAUGGAUACAAUAUAUUUUAAAGUUGGUAUGUUAGCAUAAACUAACCUCCACACAGUUUCUUGAAAGGAAAGCUCUUUGCACCUUUUGCAUCUUCCUUCCCGUCCUCUUCUGGUGGUGCUUUUCUUUUCCUGAGAGGAUUGGUUUUCUGUCACUUUGCUAAGCAAGACCAAGAGUAUCUGUAUUUAUCACUCCAAAUGCAGCCAGGGCUCGGUCUCGCACUUAUAGUGAAUUCUCUCAGUACCUCACUGCAUUAAACAUUUAAGUCUUUUGCUGUUCAGAGUUUUUAAUGUUUACAUUAUUUGUCCAUUUAGUAAGGUUACAAUAAUUAUCCUCCAGCAAAUGGAGAUCUUAUGGAACAUUUUUGUUAAAGUGUUUUAAAAUGUUCCAGCUUUUAGAUGCUCCCCAUGUUAGGAAUUUUAUUAGAGCAUUUACGACCACUGACAAGUGGUCUUCUCUCUAUUCAGCAAUCUUGGUAGUGAUUUGGUAGAUUUUUGUUGGGAUGGAGUGAUUCAUAUCCAGAAGAAUAGCAUUAAUCUUUUAUUUAUUCAGUUCACUCUUAGUCUCAGAAUUUUCCAAGAUGCCAUUGAGAUAUAGAGCGCUCCUGUUACUUGAGCAACUCGAGGUUGGUGCAUCUAAUGUCUGCCUUCCGUAUGGGAGAUACUGACUUGUUCACUUUGCCUGGAUUGUCAGCCCGUCUUGGUGAGCUCUGGGUAGAACAUUGGAAUAUCAUCCUUCUUGACAAAAUAAUCCAAAAGUUAGCCAGAUAAUCAUUCCUUAUGGUGUUAAUUAUGUCUAGAACCUGAGGUCUGGAUGUAAGAAUUGUUUAGUAUUCACACUGGUGGCUAGGAUGUGUCAAGGUAUUGUAGUACUGGUUGGUGCCCUGCCCCUGCUCCAUGCUCUCUCUCCCCACCACUGUUGUAUUGAUUGUGUCAGUGUAUAUGUUUGCAUAAGGCACUGGUGCACAUAAAUACUGAGUGACUGCACAUUUAUUGAGCCUAACUAUCAGACACCAAUGAUCCAGUUUUACGGUUUCACUUUAGAUUGAGACUUGUCACCAUGCAUUAAUAUUAUUCAAUGCAGGAAUGCAAAGGUGUAAUUUACUUCUGGUGAACAGCUAUUUUGUUUUUUGGCAAGUUACAAUGACCCCCUUUCUGGGAACUUAAGAUUGCAGUUAAGAUUUCUACCAUGGGAUGUGAAGCAAAUCUAUUCUGUGAUCUUGUGUACAAUAUAUUCCAGACAUUUGGAUGUUUGUGGAAAAACUAGCUUCUGUGUUAACCAGGCAAGUCCGUGAUCUAUAGGAACUGCGCUGCACAAGGCAUUUCCAAAUUACAGGUUUGGCAGAAUUGCUAUUUCAGUUCAUACUAUUUUGAGGAAGUAGAAGAUGUUUAUUAGAGAGUGCUUGAGAACCUUGCCUACAAUAUUGACUCUGCAAUUGUGCAGCACAAAUCAGCCAUUUUCCUUAAGUGUAAGGGACUAUCUAGUUGAUGGUAUCAGCUUGUAUAUAGGAAAUUUUGGGUACUGUCAAAGGUUAUUGGAAUAAACCUGCUGGAGCUUUAACAUUUAUAUAACAAUACUGUAUUCUUAGUGGCUGCAAUGCUAUUUGAAAUAUCCUUAGUAUUUUAACCUAAGUAGAACAGAGAAGGGAGAUGAGCCAAAAGUGACAAAGUAGUUGUGGGAAAGGAGCAGGCUACUGAAUAUAUACAGUCUGGCUCUUUAGAAUUUGUUUAUUAUAUUAUUCAUUACUUUCUAAGUAUAAAAGCAAUUUAAGGACGAGCAGUCGCUGACCUUGCUGGCGACAACCUCAUUUUGUAUGUGAAUCCGAAACAAAAAAUUCCAAGAGUUUAUGACUGCAAUUUUGGAAGCAAGUUUGGGGAGUUCUAGAAUGAGCUAUUCUGCCUUCCAUAUUAUAAUUAAACCAUCUUCUUAACAUGCUUAAACUGUAACCUUAAUACUGGCAAUGCAAACUGGGAAAAUGCUUAAUCUGCUGAAACUGGAAGUGUACUGUUUUACAAAAUAAUAUCUAUAUCUUGCAGAUGUGUUAUAAUGCAGAGCACAGGUAAUGGGAAAAAAUCCAGAUCCAAAUAACCAAUGAUUUUGGUAUAAGAUAAAGUUUCUAAAGGAGUUUCAGGGAAAGAGAGAACAUCAUUGAUAAAACGAAGAUCAGUACUGGACAGCAAGCCUGGGCUGAACAAAGUGAAGGAAAAAAUGGAUUGAAAAAGGACUCCCAAAACUUGGAUCUAAUUUAAUAACUUUGUAGUAGAUCAGCUGAGGAUAUGUUCUUGUGAAUAAGGUCUUUCCAACAAUAUUAUGGACUAUAUUCGCCCAAACACCAGACAAGAUCGAGGCUAAACCGUCCACGAAUAGAAAAAGGAAACAAGAAAAGAAGCAGCGUAUUAAGAGAGCGGUUAUAAACAGAGAAUCGGAGCACGCGUACA